RNAcentral lists this long non-coding RNA (289 nucleotides) under Homo sapiens (human). RNAcentral's name for it is "HSALNT0034478". The record is from RNAcentral. Lineage: Eukaryota; Metazoa; Chordata; Mammalia; Primates; Hominidae.
GUGGGUUGGUUCGUGGUCUUGCUGACUUCAAGAAUGACACCGCUGACCUUUGCGAUUGGAGACUUGAAGAGAUGAGUUUAACCUGCCAGUGAAUACUAUCUUGAAUGUAACACAAACACAGAAGAGUACACUGAUCGCCUCAGCUCAUUUGUGGGGUUCAGCUUCUUUUUGCUCUAUCCCACUUUACAUCCAUUUUCCCUUCCCAUCUGCCUGCCCUGUGGAUAUCAAGCUCCAGCAUAAAACCUGAGGACAACAGCUUCACAGAGAUUGCUUAACCAGCUCCAACUGU